Molecule: ribosomal RNA, 538 nt
Filed under: uncultured bacterium
Lineage: Bacteria
Description: bacterial SSU rRNA
Rfam family: Bacterial small subunit ribosomal RNA
Source: RNAcentral
GAGUUUGAUCCUGGCUCAGGAUGAACGCUGGCGGCGUGCCUAAUACAUGCAAGUCGAGCGAACAGAUAAGGAGCUUGCUCCUUUGAAGUUAGCGGCGGACGGGUGAGUAACACGUGGGUAACCUACCUAUAAGACUGGGAUAACUUCGGGAAACCGGAGCUAAUACCGGAUAAUAUUUAGAACCGCAUGGUUCUAAAGUGAAAGAUGGUUUUGCUAUCACUUAUAGAUGGACCCGCGCCGUAUUAGCUAGUUGGUAAGGUAACGGCUUACCAAGGCGACGAUACGUAGCCGACCUGAGAGGGUGAUCGGCCACACUGGAACUGAGACACGGUCCAGACUCCUACGGGAGGCAGCAGUAGGGAAUCUUCCGCAAUGGGCGAAAGCCUGACGGAGCAACGCCGCGUGAGUGAUGAAGGGUUUCGGCUCGUAAAACUCUGUUAUUAGGGAAGAACAAAUGUGUAAGUAACUGUGCACGUCUUGACGGUACCUAAUCAGAAAGCCACGGCUAACUACGUGCCAGCAGCCGCGGUAAUACGUA